CUGGCGGCGUGCCUAAUACAUGCAAGUCGAACGAAUCUUCUUCGGAAGAUGAGUGGCGAACGGGUGAGUAAUACAUAGGUAACCUGCCCCUGUGCGGGGGAUAACAGGAGGAAACUCCUGCUAAUACCGCAUAGCCAUGAGCACCGCAUGGAGCUCAUGCCAAAUAUCCUUUCGGGGAUAGCGCAGGGAUGGACCUAUGGCGCAUUAGCUAGUUGGCGGGGCAACGGCCCACCAAGGCAACGAUGCGUAGCCGGCCUGAGAGGGCGGACGGCCACAUUGGGACUGAGACACGGCCCAGACUCCUACGGGAGGCAGCAGUAGGGAAUUUUCGGCAAUGGGGGAAACCCUGACCGAGCAACGCCGCGUGAGCGAAGAAGGCCUUCGGGUCGUAAAGCUCUGUUGUAAAGGAAGAACGGCGCAUACAGGAAAUGGUAUGCGAGUGACGGUACUUUACCAGAAAGCCACGGCUAACUACGUGCCAGCAGCCGCGGUAAUACGUAGGUGGCGAGCGUUAUCCGGAAUCAUUGGGCGUAAAGAGGGAGCAGGCGGCCGCAAGGGUCUGUGGUGAAAGACCGAAGCUAAACUUCGGUAAGCCAUGGAAACCGGGCGGCUAGAGUGCGGAAGAGGAUCGUGGAAUUCCAUGUGUAGCGGUGAAAUGCGUAGAUAUAUGGAGGAACACCAGUGGCGAAGGCGACGGUCUGGGCCGCAACUGACGCUCAUUCCCGAAAGCGUGGGGAGCAAAUAGGAUUAGAUACCCUAGUAGUCCACGCCGUAAACGAUGGUCACUAAGUGUCGGGGGUCAAACCCCGGUGCUGCAGUCAACGCAAUAAGUGACCCGCCUGAGUAGUACGUUCGCAAGAAUGAAACUCAAAGGAAU
This 877-nucleotide ribosomal RNA is filed under the name human gut metagenome. RNAcentral describes it as "bacterial SSU rRNA". It matches the Rfam family "Bacterial small subunit ribosomal RNA", at positions 36 to 910 of the family's 1533-position model. The record is from RNAcentral.